Molecule: long non-coding RNA, 926 nt
Organism: Nelumbo nucifera (sacred lotus)
Lineage: Eukaryota; Viridiplantae; Streptophyta; Magnoliopsida; Proteales; Nelumbonaceae
Source: RefSeq, a predicted model, not a curated record
UGAUUCAAUACAUUUACAUUUGGUUGAAACGAGUUCGGCUUCAGUCCAGGCACGCUAUAUACGCGCACCGUUCUUGCAACAUGAGCACGCGCCACACGUCUUUUAAUUCGUGCGUUGGUUUAAUACGUGCGAAAUGAAUUAAACGGAGUCUAUCCUUCAUGCCGUUAGCUUCUCCUUAGUUCCAUUCCACUUCCUUCUCGAGACUCACCGGACUCUGCCGUCGCCAAUCACUCUCACUCUCUCCCUUUUCAACCAGCGGUGAUUAACAGCCAUCAUCGGCGACCCCAUCAGGUAUUUUGGACUCUACCCCGACAGAAGUCGGACUGCUAUCACCGGCGACUGAUAGAAGCCGGACUCCUGUCAACAGUAAUCAUUCAGAUUCGCCUACCCUUGAUGAACAAGCAAGAAUGGAGGAUUCUAUGGACAAAGAGUCCAUGAGAUAAGAGAUGGCCACCGGAAACAAGAAGUGGAGGUGUCAUCGUCAGUUGUCUCGUGUUUUAUCACUCUGCCGCUUGGGGAGUCGGUUUCAACCUUCAAUCUGGAGAAUGUCGUCUGCAACCAUGGACUGUUCACGGUGGCGCUGAACCAGUGCGACCCAUGACUAAGACCUAUCUUCCAGCGCCCAUUGAGACUCUCUGAUGAAACCACUUCCAUUCUCGUCUGCAUCUCCCAUCCCCCCAAUUCCCCUUCUCUCCAUGUCCGCGUUCUCGGCACCACUUCCCUCUCUCCCGACGAUCAAGAAGUUCUGUUGGCUCAGGUAGCGCGAAUGCUGUGAUUGUCGGACAAUGAUGAAAGGAAUAUAAGGGAGCUUCACAAGAUCCACCAUGAAGCCAAGGAAAGGGGUUUUGGCGGAAAGGGUACAAACAGAAAUAUGUAAAGUAUACAAAAUACAAGGUUUUCUACUCUACAAUCUGCAUUUCUUUCUC